Molecule: ribosomal RNA, 405 nt
Filed under: uncultured Leptotrichia sp.
Lineage: Bacteria; Fusobacteriati; Fusobacteriota; Fusobacteriia; Fusobacteriales; Leptotrichiaceae
Description: bacterial SSU rRNA
Rfam family: Bacterial small subunit ribosomal RNA
Source: RNAcentral
UGGGGAAUAUUGGACAAUGGGGGCAACCCUGAUCCAGCAAUUCUGUGUGCACGAUGAAGGUUUUCGGAUUGUAAAGUGCUUUCAGCAGGGAAGAAGGAAGUGACGGUACCUGCAGAAGAAGCGACGGCUAAAUACGUGCCAGCAGCCGCGGUAAUACGUAUGUCGCAAGCGUUAUCCGGAAUUAUUGGGCAUAAAGGGCAUCUAGGUGGCCAGGCAAGUCUGGGGUGAAAACUUGCGGCUCAACCGCAAGCCUGCCCUGGAAACUGCCUGGCUAGAGUGCUGGAGAGGUGGACGGAACUGCACGAGUAGAGGUGAAAUUCGUAGAUAUGUGCAGGAAUGCCGAUGAUGAAGAUAGUUCACUGGACGGCAACUGACGCUGAAGUGCGAAAGCUGGGGGAGCGAACA